GAAACUUAAAGGAAUUGGCGGGGGAGCACUACAACGGGUGGAGCCUGCGGUUUAAUUGGACUCAACGCCGGAAAACUCACCGGGGGCGACAGCAAUAUGUAGGUCAGGCUAAAGACCUUACCUGAAUCGCUGAGAGGAGGUGCAUGGCCGUCGUCAGUUCGUACUGUGAAGCAUCCUGUUAAGUCAGGCAACGAGCGAGACCCGUGCCCACUGUUGCCAGCAUGUCCUUCGGGAUGAUGGGUACUCUGUGGGGACCGCUGGUGCUAAACCAGAGGAAGGUGCGGGCUACGGUAGGUCAGUAUGCCCCGAAUCUCCCGGGCUACACGCGGGCUACAAUGGCUGGGACAAUGGGCUCCUACACCGAAAGGUGAUGGUAAUCUCCCAAACCCAGCCGUAGUUCGAAUCGAGGACUGUAACUCGUCCUCGUGAAGCUGGAAUCCGUAGUAAUCGCGUUUCAACAUAGCGCGGUGAAUACGUCCCUGCUCCUUGCACACACCGCCCGUCAAACCACCCGAGUGAGGUAUGGGUGAGGGCACGGAUUUGUGCCGUGUUCGAACCUAAAUUUCGCAAGGGGGGUUAAGUCGUAACAA
This 590-nucleotide ribosomal RNA is filed under the name uncultured Methanosarcinales archaeon. RNAcentral describes it as "bacterial SSU rRNA". It matches the Rfam family "Archaeal small subunit ribosomal RNA", at positions 851 to 1441 of the family's 1478-position model. Lineage: Archaea; Methanobacteriati; Methanobacteriota; Methanomicrobia; Methanosarcinales. The record is from RNAcentral.